Molecule: ribosomal RNA, 465 nt
Filed under: uncultured Klebsiella sp.
Lineage: Bacteria; Pseudomonadati; Pseudomonadota; Gammaproteobacteria; Enterobacterales; Enterobacteriaceae
Description: bacterial SSU rRNA
Rfam family: Bacterial small subunit ribosomal RNA
Source: RNAcentral
CCUACGGGUGGCUGCAGUGGGGAAUAUUGCACAAUGGGCGCAAGCCUGAUGCAGCCAUGCCGCGUGUGUGAAGAAGGCCUUCGGGUUGUAAAGCACUUUCAGCGGGGAGGAAGGCGGUGAGGUUAAUAACCUCAUCGAUUGACGUUACCCGCAGAAGAAGCACCGGCUAACUCUGUGCCAGCAGCCGCGGUAAUACGGAGGGUGCAAGCGUUAAUCGGAAUUACUGGGCGUAAAGCGCACGCAGGCGGUCUGUCAAGUCGGAUGUGAAAUCCCCGGGCUCAACCUGGGAACUGCAUUCGAAACUGGCAGGCUAGAGUCUUGUAGAGGGGGGUAGAAUUCCAGGUGUAGCGGUGAAAUGCGUAGAGAUCUGGAGGAAUACCGGUGGCGAAGGCGGCCCCCUGGACAAAGACUGACGCUCAGGUGCGAAAGCGUGGGGAGCAAACAGGAUUAGAUACCCGUGUAGUC